Sycon ciliatum is the source of this 882-nucleotide long non-coding RNA. RefSeq lists it as uncharacterized. The record is from RefSeq and is a predicted model, not a curated record. The transcript has 2 exons. NCBI's taxonomy places the organism in Eukaryota, Metazoa, Porifera, Calcarea, Leucosolenida, Sycettidae.
UGUCUACAAAGCUAGUCGUCAAGUGAAGUGUCGUGGCGUGCAUCGUAAAGGCAUAGUAUCGUGUAUCGUGUGAGCACGAACCGUCGUGUGAUAUUGAAGGCUAUAAUAGCCAAGACAUUCUCAGUCGUUAUUUUCCUGAGAGCGACGAAGAGAAUCGCUAGUCCGUGCUUGUAUUCCAAAGAACAAACCUUCUUCUAGACACAUUUUCGAUAUCCAGGAUGGCUUCCAACACAUCCUCCACAAGCAUAAAAUAUGAAAGUUUCAUCAGCUGUCCGAUGGGUGGCAAAUCCGUUGCGGAACUCCCUGGCAUUGGGAGUGCACUCGGCGGCCAACUCACCGCGCAGGGCUUCGCCACGGCCGAUAAGGUAUACGGGCAGUUUCUGGUUCUCGGGAAGGACGAAGAGAAAUUUUGCACAUGGUUGAAGACCAAGUGUAAUGCAAAUAAGAAGCAGGCCGGGGAUUGUUUCAACGCUCUAAGGGAAUAUGCCAACAGCUACCUGUGAGCAGUGCAGCUGAAGAAAUAACUCGCUUUACUGUGCCACAGCUGGUCCUACAUUGUACAUGUACAUGUAAAUGUACAAUGUAGCUGUUCAACAGUAUGAGCAAGGUCAGUGACCAGUGUGCUGGUGACAUUUCCUACCAUUUCCAAUGCAUCUGUCCUAUCGUCUGAUUUGCCAUUCAUUUACUGCAUAGGAUGGACAUGAAGCAUGAUACUACACGUGUUCCUUCUCCUUCAUUUGUGAUUGUACGUCCUCCUUACAACUGAUCUCCUGUUUCUCGUUUAUUAUCCUUCCACUGUACGUGUAUGUACUGAUAGCUUUUUUCAUUGAAAUCCUUUUCUCUCUGAAUCGUAAUCGUAUUGUCGGUGUGGCACCGGUUUUA